Molecule: transfer RNA, 57 nt
Filed under: Cavia porcellus (domestic guinea pig)
Lineage: Eukaryota; Metazoa; Chordata; Mammalia; Rodentia; Caviidae
Rfam family: tRNA
About the family: Transfer RNA (tRNA) molecules are approximately 80 nucleotides in length. Their secondary structure includes four short double-helical elements and three loops (D, anti-codon, and T loops).
Source: Rfam by way of RNAcentral
UAGCUCAGCAGCACAGCUUGUGCCUGGCAAGCGCAAGGUCCUGGGUUCGAUUCCCAG